UCGACGAGACCGGGAAAAUUUCGUCUUUCUUAGUCUUUGCUCUGUUCUCGUUACACGACAACGAGCAAAGAGGGGCAGCUGUACAGCCCAAAUUUACCCGGGCCUCACCAAAUAACAAGCCCAAAAAUUUAAAACAAAACCCAACUAGCCUAACCCACCAACCCGAGCCCAAUUACAAUGCAAAACCCAAUACAACCCAAG
This 201-nucleotide long non-coding RNA is filed under the name Gossypium raimondii (Peruvian cotton). Its description in RNAcentral is "long non-coding RNA (GRAI_LNC001900)". Lineage: Eukaryota; Viridiplantae; Streptophyta; Magnoliopsida; Malvales; Malvaceae. The record is from RNAcentral.